UACGUAGGGUGCGAGCGUUGUCCGGAAUUAUUGGGCGUAAAGGGCUCGUAGGCGGCCAACUAAGUCAGACGUGAAAUCCCAUGGCUUAACCAUGGAACUGCUUGGCAUACUGGCGGUCUUGAGCCACUUAGGGGCAACCGGAACAAAUGGUGGAGCGGUGAAAUGCGUAGAUAUCAUUUGGAACGCCAAUGGUGAAAACAGGUUGCUGGGAGUGUGCUGACGCUGAGACACGAAAGCCAGGGGAGCGAACGGG
RNAcentral lists this ribosomal RNA (253 nucleotides) under uncultured bacterium. Its description in RNAcentral is "partial 16S ribosomal RNA". It matches the Rfam family "Bacterial small subunit ribosomal RNA", at positions 524 to 776 of the family's 1533-position model. The record is from RNAcentral.